RNAcentral lists this ribosomal RNA (116 nucleotides) under Candidatus Acetothermia bacterium. Lineage: Bacteria; Candidatus Bipolaricaulota. The record is from RNAcentral.
CCGGGCGGCAGAUGGCGGCGGGGAAACACCCGGCUCCAUUCCGAACCCGGCAGUUAAGCCCGCCAGCGCCAAUGGUACUGGGGCAAAAGCCCCGGGAGAGUAGGUCGCCGCCCGGA